UGAAGCGAGUGGCGAACUGGUGAGUAACACGUGGGUAACUUGCCCAGAAGCAGGGGAUAACACUUGGAAACAGGUGCUAAUACCGUAUAACAACAAAAACCGCAUGGUUUUUGUUUAAAAGGUGGUUUCGGCUAUCACUUCUGGAUGGACCCGCGGCGUAUUAGUUAGUUGGUGAGGUAAAGGCCCACCAAGACAAUGAUACGUAGCCGACCUGAGAGGGUAAUCGGCCACAUUGGGACUGAGACACGGCCCAAACUCCUACGGGAGGCAGCAGUAGGGAAUCUUCCACAAUGGACGAAAGUCUGAUGGAGCAAUGCCGCGUGAGUGAAGAAGGGUUUCGGCUCGUAAAACUCUGUUGUUAAAGAAGAACACUCUUGAGAGUAACUGUUCAGG
This 393-nucleotide ribosomal RNA is filed under the name Lactobacillus sp. HBUAS51381. RNAcentral's name for it is "bacterial SSU rRNA". It matches the Rfam family "Bacterial small subunit ribosomal RNA", at positions 87 to 467 of the family's 1533-position model. Lineage: Bacteria; Bacillati; Bacillota; Bacilli; Lactobacillales; Lactobacillaceae. The record is from RNAcentral.